UACGAAGGGGGCUAGCGUUGUUCGGAAUUACUGGGCGUAAAGGGCGCGCAGGCGGCUCUUCAAGUCAGAUGUGAAAGCCCCGGGCUCAACCUGGGAACUGCAUUUGAGACUGGAGAGCUCGAGUUCGGGAGAGGAGAGCGGAAUUCCCAGUGUAGAGGUGAAAUUCGUAGAUAUUAGGAAGAACACCAGUGGCGAAGGCGGCUCACUGGUCCGGUACUGACGCUGAGGUGCGAAAGCGUGGGGAGCAAACAGG
This 253-nucleotide ribosomal RNA is filed under the name uncultured bacterium. RNAcentral's name for it is "partial 16S ribosomal RNA". It matches the Rfam family "Bacterial small subunit ribosomal RNA", at positions 524 to 776 of the family's 1533-position model. The record is from RNAcentral.